Molecule: ribosomal RNA, 262 nt
Filed under: uncultured bacterium
Lineage: Bacteria
Description: partial 16S ribosomal RNA
Rfam family: Bacterial small subunit ribosomal RNA
Source: RNAcentral
GAUCCUGGCUCAGGACGAACGCUGGCGGCGUGCUUAACACAUGCAAGUCGAACGGAAAGGCCCUGCUUUUGUGGGGUGCUCGAGUGGCGAACGGGUGAGUAACACGUGAGUAACCUGCCCUUGACUUUGGGAUAACUUCAGGAAACUGGGGCUAAUACCGGAUAGGAGCUCCUGCUGCAUGGUGGGGGUUGGAAAGUUUCGGCGGUUGGGGAUGGACUCGCGGCUUAUCAGCUUGUUGGUGGGGUAGUGGCUUACCGAAGGU